This 313-nucleotide unclassified non-coding RNA is filed under the name fungal sp. Its description in RNAcentral is "partial internal transcribed spacer region". The stretch from base 1 to 46 matches the Rfam family "Eukaryotic small subunit ribosomal RNA", at positions 1786 to 1831 of the family's 1831-position model. The record is from RNAcentral. Lineage: Eukaryota; Fungi.
AAGUCGUAACAAGGUUUCCGUAGGUGAACCUGCGGAAGGAUCAUUACAAAACAAAAUCCAAACCACACCAAAUGUGCUCUAUAAAUGCUGAGAAGCUGUCUUUGUGUGUGUUAAUGUUUGUGUGAGGAGAAAAAUUUAUUUUUUCCUCCUCGCACUCUCACACACACACACACAAUCCUUCUUUUCAGCAUUGUCUUUGUUUAUCAAUUUUUUCAUUAACUCCUUGUUUAACCAACAACGGAUUACAAUGUUAAAACUUGAAACAAAAAACAAAACAAAAUGACAACUUUUAACGGUGGAUCUCUUGGCUCGU